This is an RNA transcript of Wasmannia auropunctata (little fire ant), 2917 nucleotides long. It is a transcript of the gene named liprin-alpha-2-like, with no coding region annotated. Lineage: Eukaryota; Metazoa; Arthropoda; Insecta; Hymenoptera; Formicidae. The transcript is spliced from 2 exons. The record is from RefSeq and is a predicted model, not a curated record.
GUACGGUUGCAACGACGGCGCUCGGGCGGAGUCGGGCGCGCCUUCGGUGACGGCGACGUCAUGGCGCAAGAUGGCCGUCGAUAUCGGGAAUGGUGUAUCGUAGACGAGGCUGGGCGGUAGGAAUUCCGGGGAAUAGGUGUGUCGGUGUUUUGGCAUUACGUGCAAGAUAACGCUCCAUUAGAAUGAAGUCCAGCCGCGUCGUUGUCGUCAUUGCCGCUGCGGGCUAAACUCGGAGUUUCGGCGCCGCGCAGCGCAGUGUCCGUCGUGUACGAAUCGUACGUACAAAUCGGCACAAACCGCGCGUCUCAUCCGGUCUUCCUCUCUCUCUCUCUUUCUUUUAUUAUCUCCUCUUUCUCUCUCUUUGAUGUCGGUGAUAAGUAAGCAAAUGUUGUGAGCUUCCUGAUCCAGGAGAUCUUCGAUUUCCCUUUCUCGGAUCUCCAGCUACUGUGUAUUUACGCGAGGAGGAUGAUCUCCGUGAAAGCCUCUAGCGUUUAAGAAUCGAAAAGGAAAAGUCGGCGAGAAUAAGCAUAAAUCGACAUGCACCGAAAAAUUUAAGAGUCCAAAAAUGAGGUGGCGCCGGCUUUCUUCUCGGCAAUAACUGCUCCAUGGGUGUGAGACUCCCAGUGAACGGGCACAGGAUCAUUCAAAAGUGCACAAUCGAAAAUCUGACCACAUUAAGCUAAAGAAAAAAACGAGCAAUAAGAUACCUGAAGUAGAGGACUAUCUCGUCUCUCUUUUGCUCUCUUUGUCUUAAUAAUAAGUGCUUUACAGAAUUGGCCGGGGAUGCAGCAUUACUAUUGCUAGUAUCACUAUUAUUAUUAAUAUUAUUACUAUUAUUGUUGUUACUAUUGUCUACGUAGCUGGUUGAUUUGUUAAAAUUGUUCAAGAUCACAAAUCAAACUGGAAGAAGAAUGAAAAAGUGACAGUUAUAUCUUCUAGAAAAAAAUAGAUAUAUUAAUAGGUAAAAAAAAAAUUCAGAGAUGAGCUAUCUAAAAGAAAAGAAUGAAAAGAAUCGUUAUCUUCGAAAAUAAAUGGAUAUUUGUUUUGAAAAAGGAAAGUUCGCAAAAAUGUAUAGCCAAGUGUUUUCAAGAUGAUGAAAAAUUUCUACAAACGCAAGAAUGCACGUAAAAUGAGAUUCUGUGAGAUUUUGGCUAUAAGAACAAGAACAAAACUGAAGAUACAAAAAAAUGAUCGUUUAUUUUGAUCACGAAUUCUUUUAAGAUACAAGAAAAAACAUUGAAUCAUGGUUAAUAUGUUAUCGAUUUAUUUAUCAUGGUGCUAGAUACGAACUAUUCGAAAUAAGAAUUGAAUUACGAUCGAUUGAUUUUCCAGAUUGAAUGAAGCAUGAUAUUAAUAUUAAUAUUUCGAUGCUAGAGUUUGAUAAAAGAAUAUUGCCAUACCGCUAAAACUGGAAGAGCAGAAGAAGGAUGUAUUCAAAACUAAACUGCAGCAUUCCAAAUGAUUGGACAUCUAGUAAGGAGAAAGGAGCCGGCAAAGUAAACGGCGGCCUUCGAGUUUGACUGAUAGCGCGCGCGAGCUUCUCUUUCUCUUUUUCUCUCUUUCUUUCUUUCUCUUUCUGGUAUGACUGAAAGUCGCGAGAAUGAGCGUGAACAUAUAUGAAGUUGAGACGAGCGUGUAUAGUGCAUGCGGUGAGGAGGCUUUUACUAUGGAGCGAUGUACGAGUCUCCGCUCUUGCACGAUCGGCGAAGUGAAUACGCCGCGUGAUCGGGAAACGUCGGCUUCGAAGUCGCGACGGUAGACGAGCGCUCUCGAUCGAAGCAGGCGCGAUCGCGUGGAAGCCUUCGUCGAGGGAGAAAUAGAGACGCACGUUUUUACUACGGCUUCGUGUUCGCAGUAGGGACACUUAAUUUAUAUGACGGUUUAAUUUGAGAUUUGAGAAACAAUAAUAUUCCGUUAACGGAAUGAGUGAGAAAAUUAAAUGAAUCAAUCACAGACUUAUCUCAAAAAGCGAAUCUCGCUAAGUAAAUCCAAAACAUAUAAACUGGCCAGUUGUCGGCAACAAGCGCGUGAAUUUUGUGGAAUCAUUUGUUUUAUUCUUUACACACGUGAAAAGCAUUUUCUCGUGAAAUUGAGAUAGACUGAAUCAUGCAAUAGAAACAUUAUGAAGCUGUAAUCUGUAUGUGUUUGGAACGAGAGAAAGAAAUUAUGGGAAAUCAUUAACUAAUGCCGGACAAAAGAAGUUUGAAAAUAAACAGGAAGAUGCUAAGGGUGCUCGCAAAAUCGAAGUCGGUGAACUUCGUUAUAAGAGUUAUAUUACCUUACACACGAUCACGGAAUUGAGUGGAAAAUACUUUAUACGAUUAUGCGGCACAUCGAUGUGCUAUGAAGUCGUGCCACGAGAGGAAAAUACGUACGCGAGAUUCAUUGCUUUCGGGGUGUGAAUAAUAACAAAAUAAUAUAAUAAUCCCGACAAGCGCGGAGAACGACCGCGUCGUGACGACGACAACAGCAUACAACGUGCAAAAUGUGGAAUAUGAUGUGCGAUGUGAUGCCGACGAUCGCGGAGGACAGCAUGAGCCAGCGGAGCUCGCAAUUCUCCGGCGAGGACGGGAACAUCGAGCAACUAAUGGUGCAAAUGCUAGAUGAGCGUGACAAAAUGAUGGAAUCGAUGCGCGAGCACCAGGAGCGGCUGCAGGAGAUGGAGGCGCGAUUGGCGGAGGUUGAGAAGGAACGGGAUGCCUUGAAUCGCCAGCUUAACGCAAAUAUUCCCCAGGUAAGUCAAUUCUAUGUUUAUUUGCAGUCGAGCACGCGCAAAGCUUUAGUGUGUUUCAAAUAGCGGCGUUAACGUGAAUCUACAUAUCUUGAACAAAGAGCUAAUGUUUAUAGAAAAUAUAAUAAAGAAUUACUUUAAAAUAAAAUAAUAGAAAGAUGUUAGGUACAAAGAAAUGAUUAUAUU